Molecule: ribosomal RNA, 236 nt
Filed under: uncultured bacterium
Lineage: Bacteria
Description: partial 16S ribosomal RNA
Rfam family: Bacterial small subunit ribosomal RNA
Source: RNAcentral
UGAGCAAUCUGCCCUUCUCAUCGGAAUAAGCGUUGGAAACGACGUCUAAUGCCGAAUACGACCUCCUUUCGCAUGAUCGGAGGUGGAAAGUUCCGGCGGAGAAGGAUGAGCUCGCGGCCUAUCAGCUAGUUGGUGUGGGUAAUGGCCCACCAAGGCGACGACGGGUAGCCGGCCUGAGAGGGUGACCGGCCACACUGGGACUGAGACACGGCCCAGACCUCCUACGGGAGGNAGCG